RNAcentral lists this long non-coding RNA (1544 nucleotides) under Homo sapiens (human). RNAcentral describes it as "HSALNT0260087". Lineage: Eukaryota; Metazoa; Chordata; Mammalia; Primates; Hominidae. The record is from RNAcentral.
AAAAAUGCUACAAGAUAGCAUCCAAAAAGCUUUUCUAGACAUUGGCUUAGGCCAAGUAGUCAUGACUAAUGCCCCAAAAGCAAACGCAAAAAUAUAAAAAUAGAAUAAGAUCAAUAGGACCUAAUGAAACCGAAAAUCUUCUGCAAGGCAGAAGAAAUAUCAGCAGGGUAAACACACAACCCACAGUAUAGGAAACAGUAGUCACAAACUAGGCAUCUGACAAAGGACUAAUGUCCAGACUCCAAAGGAACUGAAAGAAAUCAGCAAGAAGAAAAGGUGCCAUUUACCACCUUCCUGACUCAUUGGCCAGAACCAAUGUUAGUGGAAUUAACAUAUGCCCCACCCCAAGUGACUUCUAAAGGGCUAACUCACCACAAGGGAGUCAGAGCAGAUCUUGGACUGAGACCUACAGGACACAGCGACUCUUAAAUAGGUGGCUCACCAGGAGAAAGGCAUAGCAGAACCUGGACUGAGACCUACGGGAGACAGAUGCUGCCAUGGGGUUGUAGCCCCACAACUUGCCAGUCUGUAUGCUUCCCUAGAGGUUUGAGCAGCGGAGUACUAAAGAAGCAAGCCACACCCCCACUCCACCUCCUGUGAGGGGGACAAGGAAACUUUUCCCAUUUCAACUGGUGGCUCGUCUGGGAUCUCGGAAGAUCAUCCUGGCCUGCUAAGACCCAUCCUGUGCUUAUAAAAACCCCAAGACCCUAGCAGUCAGACACACAGGAGGCUUGACGUCGAGAGGAGCACAUCAGCGGAGGAACACACAGGCGGCUGGACAUGAAGAGGAACAUGACAACAGGCACCAGCACACCAGCAGGGCACCGACUUAUAGAACGAUGUGGAUUUUGCCUGGGGCAGUCAGAGGAGAGCCAGGGCUGCUGAACGGCCCCAAUCCAGGGAGAAACCAAUCUCCUUUCUGGCUCCCCCAUCUGCUGAGAGCUACUUCCACUCAAUAAAACCUUGCACUCAUUCUCCACGUCCACGUGUGACCUGAUUCUUCUGGAAUGCCAAGGCAAGAACCCUAGGAUACAGAAAGCCCUCUGUCCUUGUGAUAAGGAAUGUGUCUAAUUGAGCUAGUUACCACAAGUUGCCUAUAAAUGGCAAAACUAAAAGACCACACGACCACUGGGGCUUCAGGAACUGUAAACAUCCACCCCUACACACUGCCAGUAUGAGAAAAAUUUGCUGAUAUGUUUUCUGCUGACCUGAUGACAAUGUUCCUAUGGUCACACUAACCACUGCUGGGUAAUUUUCAUCAUGACUCUCGUUUUCAUCUGCUGAAACCAGCCUCCCCAAGAAAGACAACUAUUUUCAAACUGAGGAAAUAAAGUGUUACUAAACCACAGUGUUCUCUCAUGGCUGUUCCUGGAGUUCUUCAAAACACUUGAUAUUAUAAAAUAGAAUUAUUACAGAUCACUGUAUGUUAUGGAUUUAGUCAAAAUGAUAAUUUAAAAUAUGGUUUAAAAUAAAAAACUUUAUUUUCCAAAGAAGAUAGUUUUUUAAACAAGAAUAUCCAAUAAAGACAGUAUGAGGUCAGCUGA